Molecule: transfer RNA, 125 nt
Filed under: Aspergillus novofumigatus IBT 16806
Lineage: Eukaryota; Fungi; Ascomycota; Eurotiomycetes; Eurotiales; Aspergillaceae
Description: tRNA-Asn
Source: RNAcentral
GCCCGGAUGGUCUAGUGGUAUGUUCUCAUAUAUUACGCCACUUUAAUUUUCCCACUAACAAUUUAACCAGGUAUGAUUCUCGCUUUGGGUGCGAGAGGUCGCGCGUUCGACUCGCGCUUCGGGCC